RNAcentral lists this ribosomal RNA (253 nucleotides) under uncultured bacterium. RNAcentral's name for it is "partial 16S ribosomal RNA". It matches the Rfam family "Bacterial small subunit ribosomal RNA", at positions 524 to 776 of the family's 1533-position model. The record is from RNAcentral.
GACAGAGGUGCCAAGCGUUAGGCGGAUUCAUUGGGCGUAAAGGGUGCGUAGGCGGCUUUCUAAGUCUGAUGUGAAAUCCUGGGGCUCAACCCUGGAACUGCAUUGGAUACUGGGAGGCUAGAGAACUGGAGAGGAGACUGGAAUUUACGGUGUAGCAGUGAAAUGCGUAGAGAUCGUAAGGAAGACCAGUGGCGAAGGCGAGUCUCUGGACAGUUACUGACGCUGAGGCACGAAGGCCAGGGGAGCAAACGGG